Molecule: ribosomal RNA, 500 nt
Filed under: uncultured bacterium
Lineage: Bacteria
Description: partial 16S ribosomal RNA
Rfam family: Bacterial small subunit ribosomal RNA
Source: RNAcentral
GACGAACGCUGGCGGCAUGCCUAAUACAUGCAAGUCGAGCGAACAUUUAUAGAAUUUGUCUGCUAUAAGUGUGAGGGACGGGUGAGUGACUAACACGUGGCCAACCUGUCCUUUAGAGGUAGAUAACGCCGACAAAGCGGGGCUAAGACCGGAUAAUCAUGCUGCACGCUGGGACAAGGUCAAAAAGGGCGCUUCGGGUGGGACUCCAGGAUUAUCCCCCGGCGGAUUAGGUAGUUGGUUGGAUAACGGCCUACCAAGACCAGGAUUGGUAGCCGAACUGGGAGGGUGAUAGGCCACACUGGAACUGAGACAGGGACAAGACUCCUAAGGGAGGCAGCAGUAGGGAAUCGUCCGCAAUGGACGGAAGUAUGACGGAGCAAUGCCGAGUGAGCGACGAAGGUUCUCGGAUCGUAAAGCUCGGUUGUGAGGGAAGAACAGGUUCGGCCGUAACUGAACGUAGCUUGACGGUACCUGAUAAGAAAGCCACGGCUAACUACGUG